AGAUUUCGGCGGCGGAACGACAGGCUUUUUCGGGAUUUCCCAGCGCCGGCGCUCCCACUUUUCGGACUGUCCGACCCACAGGAGCCCGGCCUCGGCCGCGGAAGUGUCAAUCAGAUAACCCUGCAAUCAAACAGCCGCCUUUGAUAUUUUUGAGACAAAUCCCACACCAGCGAGAGCAUAAAAGGGUUUAACUUACAUUUAGACGCUGGCUUUGUUAUCAUAGAUAUCAAGUGUAGGAGGAGAUCCUACGAGGAUGUGUAAAGCAAAUGCCAGCCAUUGGAUCGCCCAGAUCAGUUACUUCUCUCGCCAAGGUCUCC
RNAcentral lists this long non-coding RNA (317 nucleotides) under Elaeis guineensis (African oil palm). Its description in RNAcentral is "long non-coding RNA (EGUI_LNC011527)". The record is from RNAcentral. Lineage: Eukaryota; Viridiplantae; Streptophyta; Magnoliopsida; Arecales; Arecaceae.